GGGGUAAACCUGCGAAACUCGAAUGAACGAACGGAGAGAUUCAUCGUCAUUCCCCGGCGUACGGACGCGCGCCUCGAUGUCUGCGAUCUCGAUCUGCGGGCACGGGUCGCGUCCGUCGACGUCCGGGGACGGCGUGCACUUCUCUCUUAGUAUUUGCAUCGCGACCCGUUCGAUGUCGGUCUAAGCGACGUUCGGGAGCCCGAUCGUCACCUUCGCGGGUGGCGGUCGGACCGCGACGAUCGCCGACCGGCCGUCGGACGGUAUACAGUAUGUGAAUCGCGCACGCGUCUACGACGCGUCCGGCCCGACGCAAGUCAACGUCGUAUCCGGCGUUCCGCCCGAGCGCGGACGCUGGUGCGGCGCGUCUGUCGUCGCAGCCGUGUAGUCUCGGACUGUGCGCGUCUCCGUCUGCGAUGAUUCAGUUUCGGGCACUCGCAGGACCCGUCUUGAAACACGGACCAAGGAGUCUAGCAUGUAUGCGAGUCAUUGAGAUUAUAUUAAAACUGAAAGGCGCAACGAAAGUGAAGGCGCGCGCUAGCCGCGCGCUCAGGGAGGAUGGAGCAUCGAUCUAGAUCGACCUCUCGCACUCCCGAGGCGUCUCGUUUCCAAUCCGUGAAUGCAGGCGCGCUC
Molecule: ribosomal RNA, 630 nt
Filed under: Phycidopsis albovittata
Lineage: Eukaryota; Metazoa; Arthropoda; Insecta; Lepidoptera; Notodontidae
Description: eukaryotic LSU rRNA
Source: RNAcentral